This 261-nucleotide ribosomal RNA is filed under the name uncultured bacterium. RNAcentral describes it as "partial 16S ribosomal RNA". It matches the Rfam family "Bacterial small subunit ribosomal RNA", at positions 333 to 591 of the family's 1533-position model. The record is from RNAcentral.
UGGAACCUACGGGGCGCAGCAGUGAGGAAUAUUGGUCAAUGGGUGGGAGCCUGAACCAGCCACGUCGCGUGAAGGAAGAAGGUACUUAGUAUUGUAAACUUCUUUUGUCGGGGAACAAAGGCGGAGACGCGUCUCCUGAUGAGUGUACCCGAAGAAAAAGCAUCGGCUAACUCCGUGCCAGCAGCCGCGGUAAUACGGAGGAUGCGAGCGUUAUCCGGAUUUAUUGGGUUUAAAGGGUGCGCAGGCGGGAGAUCAAGUCAG